AUCUUAAUUCUGAAAGAAGAUUAAAGAAUUAAUAUUUUAUAAAACAAGAUUUAAUUUUCAAAGUUAAAGAAUCCCAAAAAAGGGAUUGUUGAUAGCAGAGUUGAGCUCGGAUCCAGCUGAGUUGAGAACUUGCAUGUCAACCUUGU
Molecule: long non-coding RNA, 146 nt
Organism: Hibiscus syriacus
Lineage: Eukaryota; Viridiplantae; Streptophyta; Magnoliopsida; Malvales; Malvaceae
Exons: 3
Source: RefSeq, a predicted model, not a curated record